This 253-nucleotide ribosomal RNA is filed under the name uncultured bacterium. RNAcentral describes it as "partial 16S ribosomal RNA". It matches the Rfam family "Bacterial small subunit ribosomal RNA", at positions 524 to 776 of the family's 1533-position model. The record is from RNAcentral.
UACGUAGGGUGCGAGCGUUGUCCGGAAUUAUUGGGCGUAAAGGGCUCGUAGGCGGUUUGUCGCGUCGGGAGUGAAAACACCGGGCUUAACUCGGUGCUUGCUUUCGAUACGGGCAGACUGGAGGUAUGCAGGGGAGAACGGAAUUCCUGGUGUAGCGGUGAAAUGCGCAGAUACCAGGAGGAACACCGGUGGCGAAGGCGGGUCUCUGGGCCGAUACUGACGCUGAGGAGCGAAAGCGUGGGGAGCGAACAGG